GGGGUUUUAGCUCAGGUGGUAGAGCAUGGACUUUGCAAGUCUGGGGCGGUUGGUUCGAAUCCAGUAGACUCCA
RNAcentral lists this transfer RNA (73 nucleotides) under Cinachyrella kuekenthali. RNAcentral describes it as "tRNA-Ala". It matches the Rfam family "tRNA". From Rfam's summary of the family: Transfer RNA (tRNA) molecules are approximately 80 nucleotides in length. Their secondary structure includes four short double-helical elements and three loops (D, anti-codon, and T loops). Further hydrogen bonds mediate the characteristic L-shaped molecular structure. tRNAs have two regions of fundamental functional importance: the anti-codon, which is responsible for specific mRNA codon recognition, and the 3' end, to which the tRNAs corresponding amino acid is attached (by aminoacyl-tRNA synthetases). tRNAs cope with the degeneracy of the genetic code in two manners: having more than one tRNA (with a specific anti-codon) for a particular amino acid; and 'wobble' base-pairing, i.e. permitting non-standard base-pairing at the 3rd anti-codon position. The record is from RNAcentral. Lineage: Eukaryota; Metazoa; Porifera; Demospongiae; Tetractinellida; Tetillidae.